AUUUAAUAGAUAUUUUCAAACUGCAGCUUUAAAAUAAAGCAAUGGUAUUUACUUAUUUCAAAAUUAUAGUCAGCUACGCUGUAUUUCUUUUUUUUUUUCCAGUAUAUAUUCAUAUGUGAUCAUUCCCAGAUAUAAUGAAUUACAAAAUCUCGGUAUCAUAUGCCCAGCAUAUCCAGAUCUGACAGAUAGACCCUAUCUGAAAUUAUUUUCUGUUUCUAGUGCAUUGCCCCUGUU
Non-coding RNA from Pelobates cultripes (western spadefoot toad), 234 nucleotides. NCBI's taxonomy places the organism in Eukaryota, Metazoa, Chordata, Amphibia, Anura, Pelobatidae. The record is from the annotation of a GenBank genome assembly.